UUCCCCUAUCUACGUGAUCUCCAGUAUUGCCCAUAGGGGCCCUCACAAAACAGCUACAUUCCUCAAAUGUGGGAGAACUGAGGUUCAGUGCAUGGAACACCUGUGGCCCAGGGCUUUCGGUUUUGGGAAAGAGCCAGUCUCAAGCCCACGUCUUUCAAUUUCUCUUCCUCCUCUCUCUCUACAAGUGCGCGCCUUGACUAUCAGAUUAUGUGAAAUAUGGACGCAAAGGCAGACAGACUCCUUUUUGACCAUACAAGGCUUGUGCUGAGCUGCAAACUUCUGAGAAACCCUUGCCAUGGCAUUCUGAGUCCUGAGCAAUUAUCUGAAAAACCAUCUGCCCCAUCAGCAGUCACUAUGUCCCCAUACUGACACAAAGUUUUCCAUCUCCAAACACCCUAUUUAGUACAAAAAAUUUUUUCCGCUGCAUUAUUAGCACUCAGAUCAAUCCCCGCUAACUUAAACAUAGCCAAACAAGGCAAAAUGGCAGGGGCUGAAUUUGCAAGCCAUCUAUCUCCAGUCCCCUUGCUGGCUGUCUUGGAAAUUAAUACCUUUUAUUAGUGCAACCUCCCAGUUUAUAGUUAUCAAACAAUAUGCAAUUAUCAACACAUAUUAGCCAGGCUAUGUGAUGCUUGAGCUUGCUUUUCCACUAAUAGAAAUGCUGCCGUUUCUAAAUGAAUUACAGAGAGGAUGCAUGGUUGCCAAAAUAAGUUUUUAUCUAAAAGUGAAAGUUUUACAACCAAUUAUGCAGCUCUGUGAUGGGAGAAUCAGAGGGAGAACUGUGGCCCCCAUCCUCAAAGGCCCUUGGGGUGAGGACAACGAUAAGAGCCCACAACACUGGACACAUGACGAUGGCCCCAAUGCUCGGGCCCCUGAAGCAGUGGCUCUCCUCCCAGAGCUACCACUACUGCACUGAUGGCCCAGAGCCACUCAGAGAAAGGGCAAGGAUGCAGCUGGCCUCAAAUAAAGAGGAAUUCCUUUUUUUUUUUUUUUUUUUUUUUGCUUUCUAGUGCCGCAAGUGCAUAUGUAGGUUCCCAGGCUAGGGGUCAAAUCGGAGCUACAACUGCCCGCCUACACCACAGCCACAAGAUCCAAGCUGCGUCUACGACCUACACCACAGCUCACAGCAAUGCCAGAUCCUUGACCCACUGAGGCCAGGGAUCAAACCCGCAACUUCAUGGCUCCUAGUUGGAUUUGUUUCUGUUGCAGCACAAUGGGAACUCCAAGAAAUUCUUAAAAAAACAUACUUCCGGGUUCACUGGGAGAAUACCACACGGCUCCAGAAAACUAGAGCCUGGGAGAAUUCUUAAUGGAAAUUCUAACAUGCUCCAUUCACCAGAUGCUGUACUUUUUACAGAAUGUAGGAACCUGCCUACUUUAUUUGGGUGGGAGUUUGAAAAUCUAGUGUCUUUCAAUUUUCCUAAAUGAAAGAAAAGAGACGAAAGUAUUUUUUCCCUAUGUAUGCAGAUAGUUGGUGGAUGAAUCAACUAAAGAAGGAAAAAAUAGAGAAGUUAAAGCUACAUGUUAUAAAGUCAGAUGAACUCACCAUAAUAUAUACAUCAAUAUGCAUUCAAAAUCAAAGUAUGUUCAGGCCUCAUCAGAGAGAUGGCAUGUGCUAGGCAAUAGCCAAAGAACUUGUACCCAGUAGAGGAGUUUAAAGUAAGAAAUGUUACAGAUUCCACAUUUAGGGGUAUUAAAAAAAAACUUACAAGGGAUCCUCUUCCAAAGGCCAUGACAUAUGCAGAGAAUAUGUGAUUCAAAAGGACUCAGACCACAACAGCAUGACACUAGAAAUCAGCCACAGAAAGAGGAAUGAUAAAAGGUGGACUCAGGAAGAGCUGGAGCCAAGGCCCAGGUCCCUCACACAUGGGUUGUGAGACCACCAUAGAGUAAGUGACUUCUCUAGGAGUCAGUUUCUCCAUCUCAUAAGAGAGUCACAUCCCCCCCCCCCUUUUUAUGACCACACCUGUGGCAUAUGGACGUGCCCAGUCCAGGGACUGAAUUUGAGCUGCAGCUGUGACCUAUACCGAAGCGGCGGCAACUUGGGAUCCUUAACCCACUGGGCCACAGCAGGAACCCCUCACAAGUGAGACUCUUGAUCACACUGCUAAUUUCCUGUGUUGCACCACAUGGCACAAAGUGAAGGCUGAAUAAUCCUCACUGAGUGUUCAGCUGUGGAUAAACCUGACUUGAACAUCAUAAGACAAGGAGCCGGCAGCAGCAAUCCUUAGCAAGCCAACAUGCCCAACCCAGGGUCGACGUCUUUGCUCUCCCUUCCUUGCUCUUGACGAAAGCCACCCGGUACUAACUUCAGCUGCAAAGCCAAGCUCUCAGAGUGCAGGCAACAUACUGCCCGUUCCUUAUUGAUUUUGAGCACAAAUAUUUUCCCACCAGUAUUUAUUUACUCUCCCCCCUGCCACCAGGUUAAAUUACAAGUUCAACCAAACUCUUGAAACACAUCAUGUAAACUUCACGGAACAGUUUUGGACCCCACACAACGUGGGUGGCCUAAAUUCUGCACGCUGUCAAAACUGAUGAUGUUUAUCCAGAAAAUUCCCAGGGCUCUUUCCUCAUGAAAGGUGCCAAAGUAUUUAGCUCUCAAUCUGAUAAUGAUCAGAUGGAAAUCCAUGCUUUUCUGACUGAGACUCUUAGACUAUCUCCCUCAUGACACUACCCUCAAAUAAAAUAACCACAGUGGGGUUCAGGCAAGCCAACGAUUUUGUGAGAAGGGUUUUCUUUGUCUUUGUGUUUUCCCAUAAUAACAGAACCUAAGCAUGUAUAAAUUAACCUGGGCAGGGCAGAUUCAAGAUGCUGAGAGAAAAUGGGAAAGGGAAUACCGGUGUGACAUAACGGGACAUAAAUCACAGGAUUCGGACCAGAAAAGUGUUCACACCAUAUAAACAAUCAUUAAACCACCAAGGAACAAGUCUUCUCUUAUCAGGAAUAGCCUCCUCUAGAUUCCAGGUCUGUAGUUUGGAAAGAGAAAUUGGAGGGUUCUCCAGGUUUGGGCUUCUGUUUCUAGAAAGAAUAAUUCUUCUUUCAUCCUUUCCCCCUCUCCAAGUAAAGGGAGGGCAGGAGAUGAGAACACAGAAGAAGGAAUAAAAAAGAGCUACCUGACCGCUUUCACUCUUUAAUGUGUAAAGGUCCUUCGAGGGAAUCAAAUGUUUCCCUUCUCCCUAGUGGAUCUUGCACCCAUGAAGAAGGAUGCAUAUUCUCCUGGAUUUGCAUCUUCAAAUGGUGCAGAGGGCAUGACAGCCAGUGUUAGCCAGUGUGAGUGGAGAUGGAUGAGGCAGGCCUGAUGGCUGCAGAGCUGGUAGCCUGGGAACAGGCAUGGACUGGAAAGGUCCUUCCCAGUCUACGUGCGGAACAGGUGGAGGAGGAAACAGCUAUUACACAGCUCCAGGUAAUGGCUGAUGACUAAGAAUCUGAGACGGGGGGCUGCCACAACUUCCAACAUGUCAGCCAAUAAAAGACACUGAAAUUUUUUUCCAUAUGAAACAUCUCAGUUAAAGUCAGCAACGAAUUCAAAAUCAAAAGGCUUUAGAGCCAAUACAACGAUCAGUCUUUAACUACUGAACUACAGUAUCCAUACCCUCUGGACUGCAAUCCCCUUCAUGGAACCACCCAGGCAUAAACAAGAAUUUAUUUCGUAUCCCUCUCCAUAUCUGACCCUCGAAGAGGGGUAAAAGUCCAUCUCACAUAAGGUUAAUUUUCUUCCUUCCUUCCUCCCUCCCUUCCUUUUCCUUUUU
This 3746-nucleotide long non-coding RNA is filed under the name Sus scrofa (pig). Its description in RNAcentral is "lncRNA (ENSSSCG00005018283.1)". The record is from RNAcentral. Lineage: Eukaryota; Metazoa; Chordata; Mammalia; Artiodactyla; Suidae.